This 483-nucleotide ribosomal RNA is filed under the name uncultured bacterium. RNAcentral describes it as "partial 16S ribosomal RNA". It matches the Rfam family "Bacterial small subunit ribosomal RNA", at positions 30 to 507 of the family's 1533-position model. The record is from RNAcentral.
AUUGAACGCUGGCGGCAGGCCUAACACAUGCAAGUCGAGCGGAUGAAGGGAGCUUGCUCCUGGAUUCAGCGGCGGACGGGUGAGUAAUGCCUAGGAAUCUGCCUGGUAGUGGGGGAUAACGUCCGGAAACGGGCGCUAAUACCGCAUACGUCCUGAGGGAGAAAGUGGGGGAUCUUCGGACCUCACGCUAUCAGAUGAGCCUAGGUCGGAUUAGCUAGUUGGUGGGGUAAAGGCCUACCAAGGCGACGAUCCGUAACUGGUCUGAGAGGAUGAUCAGUCACACGGGAACUGAGCCACGGUCCAGACCCCUAGGGGAGGCAGCGGUGGGGAUUAUGGGACAAUGGCGAAAGCCUGAUCCAGCCAUGCCGCGUGUGUGAAGAAGGUCUUCGGAUUGUAAAGCACUUUAAGUUGGGAGGAAGGGCAGUAAGUUAAUACCUUGCUGUUUUGACGUUACCAACAGAAUAAGCACCGGCUAACUUCGUG